This 150-nucleotide small nuclear RNA is filed under the name Echinops telfairi (small Madagascar hedgehog). RNAcentral describes it as "U4 spliceosomal RNA (ENSETEG00000024539.1)". The stretch from base 1 to 69 matches the Rfam family "U4 spliceosomal RNA". Lineage: Eukaryota; Metazoa; Chordata; Mammalia; Afrosoricida; Tenrecidae. The record is from RNAcentral.
AGCUUUGCGCAGUGGCAAUAUCGUAGCCAAUGAGGUGUACCCGAGGCGCGAUUAUUGCUAAUUGAAAGUCUGGAAGCUUCCCUGAAACCUGUCCGCCGUCGUGACUGACAUGUGAAGCACGCAAGGACUUUAGGGAAGUCCGCAGAAGAA